GUGCUUGCUUCAGCAGCACAUAUACUAAAAUUGGAACCCUACAGAGAAUAUUAGCAUGGCCCCUGCACAAGGAUGACAUGCAAAUUAUUGAAGCAUUCCACAUUUUU
RNAcentral lists this small nuclear RNA (107 nucleotides) under Saimiri boliviensis boliviensis (Bolivian squirrel monkey). Lineage: Eukaryota; Metazoa; Chordata; Mammalia; Primates; Cebidae. The record is from RNAcentral.